UGCGAGCUUUCUCUCUCCCCUUUCUUGUACUAAAACAUUGUGAACAGUGUUUGGUUCAAGAUUGGGGGGAUUUCUUUACUUCUUUUUUUUCUAUCUUGUGUGUUUAUGCUUUUUUUUUUCUUUUAGUUAUCUCCAUUAAAUUUAGUUUUUUUUGUCGUUAUUUUUUUAACAAAAAAAUCCCGAAUUAGGACCUUUCAAAAAAUAUUCUUGAAAAUAUUUUAAUCAUAAGGAAAAUGGGAAAGUAUAUAGAGUUAGAGGGAUGCGAGGCUAAGUCUAG
This 277-nucleotide long non-coding RNA is filed under the name Lathyrus oleraceus (garden pea). RNAcentral's name for it is "Pisum sativum (pea) long non-coding RNA (PSAT_LNC017270)". The record is from RNAcentral. Lineage: Eukaryota; Viridiplantae; Streptophyta; Magnoliopsida; Fabales; Fabaceae.